ACCGGCCGCGUAUGUGUUUAGUAGUAACUGUAGGCAAUUGGUAGCAGUCGUCGCAGACCACCGUUGCAUCCUCAACAUAAUAUUACUAAAUUUUUUACACCUACAAUAAUAUUAUUAUAAUAAAAUGUUUUAUUAUUAGCGUCAUUGUUAUUAGUAUUGCGGUGCAUAAAGCAUAUACAUACGUUAAUAUAAUAUAUUCUUUCUCAGAGAGCAAUGUAUUUUAGUCGUGUAACCAUGUCACUGUCAUCGUGGAUUCACGUCAUUAUAUGUCUCAUAUAUACCUGCAAUUUUACAGUUAUAGCUACAACUCCAGAAUAUUUGGGAUGUUUUUUGAAUGUAGAUUUAAAUAUUUCAAAUGGUUUAAAUAUAUCACUUGCCACUUUAACUCCUCAACAAUGUUCAGACGAAUGUCACGCAAACAAUUACACUUACGCCGCAAUUAAUAACGAACCAUUUUGUCGCUGCACAAAUAAUUACAUGUCUAAAUUGAUGAAGGAAAUGGACGACGAUUGCAAUGUCCCGUGUAUUGCUGCAGAAAACGAGUCAAAUGAAAUAUGCCAAACGCAUUUUAAAAUGUUCAAAACGCAUAAUUCAAGUAGAAUAGGCGAAGAAAAUUAUCCUCAAGCAAUCUAUCUCGGAUGCUACGAAGAAAGAAAAGGUGACGACAAUAACCGAUUACUGAAAUUUCCCCACGAAAGAUAUCCAGAUAACACUCCGCAAAAAUGUUCUGAAGAAUGUUUCAAAAUCGGAUUUCUCUACUCUGGAUCAACAAAUGCAGAACUUGAGGGAGCUGCUUGUUGGUGUGGUAAUCAAUAUCCCUCAAUAAAAUUCAAAAAAAGCGACACGAAAUGUAACUCUCUCUGUUCCGGCGACAAGACAAAAAAAUGUGGUGGUCUGUGGAGAUUGAGCAUUUAUUCCACGGGGAUCGUUGAUUAUCCACUCAAAAAAUCGGUUGGCUGUUACAAUUUGGUCGAUUUCAAUCGGUAUGAUAACAAAGUAUACACUUUAAAAGAAACCAUUGAUUCGCACAGGUGUUUUUAUAUUUGUAACGAGAGAGGAUUUAAAUACGUGGCAGUCAGCGAGGAUCAUUGCGAAUGCAGCGCUGAAAUACCGGGUACAAACCAACGAAAAAAUCAAGAAGAAUGUAAAAAAUGUUCUGGAGACGAAUCGGAAUAUUGCGGUGGUCCCAGCUCAAUAAGUAUCUACGAAAACGAUUGGUUGGGCAUAGUUACCGGAAAACUAUCGAAAACUCAUCUUGGAUGCUUUGAAAACAACUGGAUGUAUCCAGUGAUAAAUGGAUGGAAUAUAUCAUUUCCCAAAGAAAUUACCUCACAAAAAUGCGUUUCAAGUUGCUUCGCCCGAGGAUAUCCAAUCGUAGCACUAGUGUCUUCGACGGAGUGUCUGUGUAGUUUCGUAAGUCCGCCGAUCGAAGCCAAGUUAAAAGCCGGAGGACCGUAUUGCAACGUCCCGUGUUCGGGUGGCAAGGAAAACGAGUGCGGCGAUCACGAACAUUACAAUGUGUUCACCACCGGGCUGAAAACGCCCACAGUGCCGGGUAACCAUUACCUGGGUUGCUACAAAGAGACGGACGUGUACAGGACGUUCAAGAAAAACCAGACCGUCGAAAUCCUGUUCGUCAACACGCCAAACAUCUGCUCCAAGCAUUGCGACAGCGCGGGCUACGAAUAUUUCCAACUUUCCAGCAGAGACUCGUGUUUUUGCGGAAACAGUCAUCCGGCGGACGACGGCGCGGUACGGAUCGACGACAUCAAAUGUUCCACCCAGUGCUCGGGUGAUGCAAACAAAUAUUGCGGAGGAGUGUUUAAAAUCGCGGCGUUCCGUAUAGGUAAGGUUGCUGAAAGAAAAUAUAAUUGUUCUACGGAUUGUGAAUGUUAUUUUUUUCCGAAACAUAAUACAUCUAAGAUUGAUUGUUCAAAAAGAAAUCUUAGUGACCCUUCUACGAUUAUUCCUGAUUUAAAAACAACUUCGUCAUCCGUUGAUAUAAUUCUAAAAGACAAUUCGAUCGAAGUCUUACCUAAUUUAACAAGUUUUCAUAUCACUUCAUUGGAUGUUAGUAAUAACAAUAUAACAACAUUGGAUGCCGAUCUUUUACCUAAAAGCUUAAAAGUUUUGUUUGCCGAUAGUAAUAAGUUAACUACCCUGAACGAUAACGCAUUGAGAUUAAUGCAAAGUCUAGACGUCAUAAUGUUAUCGAACAACCCGUGGACGUGCGAAUGUGAUUUAUUGAACAACCUACUAAAAUAUAAAUCAAAGAUCGGAGAUUUGAAGAAAAUCACUUGCACGUCUUCCACAGAUCCGUUUGUCCACAUGGAUGAAUUUUGUGAGGAAUGGAAAAUCAAUUAUUUUUACCUCUUCAUCACCUUGGGUUUUGUUUUGUUUGUUUGCCUACUGUCCGUCUUAUUUAACUUGCAUAGGACUGCUUGGUUUUACAUGCGCAACGGGCAAUGCUAUUCUUGUAUACACAAUAUUUUAUUAUAACAUUUCAUAUUAGAUUAAUUGUUGAUAAAUAAUGUAAAUACAUUUAUAAGUAUGUAAUAACUAUCAGUUGUGGCUACUGACUACCCUAAAAGUAUAGUUGCUAAUAAGUAACAGGUAACUCACUUACCCACACAAAUAUGCAUUUCAUCUAUCAAAAAUAGUAUUAUUAAAAUUAAAAGUAUAAGUAGGUAGUUUACGACUGUAAUUUAUUAUGUUUUGUAGUUUUAUAUAAUCUUUGCUUAGUUUCAUGUAGAUAUUAAAUUUUGUCAUUAAGUAAAUAAUAUUUUAUAUUUUAUAUCAAUUCAUUUUUAAUUCAUAAGCAGAUAUAUCUAUAUUUAAACUAUUUAAUAAUAUUUAACUCAAUCUUGUAUUAGGUCUUAAUAGACAAAAUCAUUUGUAAAAAAUAAUUUUGGAUCAACAAUACCGAACAGGGCAGAUGGCAACACAACAACAAAAUGCUAAUAAUAUUUUGAUUGGUACCUAAAUAUUAAAAUAGUUAAAAAAAAAUUCUAGACGAACCAGAGUUUGUUCUAGCCGAAGAAGGUGUCCAUUAUUUAUUGCUAUUGCAGAAAUUGAAGAGCAAAGAUUAGAGCGAGACAGGAGAAACAUCCCUCAAGUGCCGAUUAAUAUGAUUAUAUGUAUUCAGUGGAACCCAGGCCAGAAAAUUGCUGAGUAAUAUGUUUAAGCAAUAUUAAUACUCAUCUACCAUGUUUGUAUUCCUUAUGAUCACAAAUGCCUGUGUCUAGAUUUUUCUAGUAAUAUGAUACAACAACGCUGUCCUAUUUGUAACAGGCCUAACAGGGUCGCAACAAUCAUCAUACAAAUAUUCUAAAAACUAAUGAUACUAAUAUUGUGUAAUAAACUGUAUAUACAUAAUUACAAAUAAUAAUUUAAAAUUAUACCAAACCUCCAAAAUAAUUUAUUUUAUAAGUGACUGUACAGAUCUACUAACUGAUUUUUUAAUUGGUUUUCAAACAAUGACCUUAGCUAACCUACUUAACUUAAGUUAAAUGUUUAAGCAAUAUUUUAUUUUUUUCAUAAAACUAAUAAUACACUUAAUUAUAAAUUAUAAUUUAUCAAAGUCUGAUCCCACAUAUUAUAUAUUUGAUCGGUGAUCUAGUUAUAUUAUUUAAAACAAAACUGAAGUUCGCUGAGCAUGUAAUGAAAAAAUAAAAUAAGCGAUCUUUAAUGCUUAGAUUCCUUUUA
Molecule: RNA transcript, 3705 nt
Organism: Rhopalosiphum padi (bird cherry-oat aphid)
Lineage: Eukaryota; Metazoa; Arthropoda; Insecta; Hemiptera; Aphididae
Exons: 13
Source: RefSeq, a predicted model, not a curated record